AUUGAACGCUGGCGGCAGGCCUAACACAUGCAAGUCGAGCGAGCGGCGGACGGGUGAGUAAUGUAUGGGGACUGCCCGCUAGAGGGGGAUAACUACUGGAAACGGUGGCUACUACCGCAUACUAUCGGAUAACCCAUAUGGGAUUAGCUAGUAGGGGGGGUACAGGCUCACCUAGGCGACGAUGGCUAGCUGGUCUGAGAGGAUGAUGAGCCACACGGGGACGGAGACACGCCCCAGACGCCUACGGAGGCAGCAGUGGGGAAUAUUGCACAAUGGGCGCAAGCCUUAUGCAGCCAUGCCGCGUGUAUGAAGAAGGCCUUAGGUUUGUAAAGUACUUUCAGCGGGGAGGCGUUACCCGCAGAAGAAGCACCGGCUAACUCCGUGCCAGCAGCCGCGGUAAUUC
This 403-nucleotide ribosomal RNA is filed under the name uncultured bacterium. RNAcentral's name for it is "partial 16S ribosomal RNA". It matches the Rfam family "Bacterial small subunit ribosomal RNA", at positions 30 to 526 of the family's 1533-position model. The record is from RNAcentral.